GUGGGGAAUAUUGGACAAUGGGCGCAAGCCUGAUCCAGCAAUGUCGCGUGGGUGAAGAAGGUCUUCGGAUCGUAAAGCCCUUUCGACAGGGACGAUGAUGACGGUACCUGUAGAAGAAGCCCCGGCUAACUUCGUGCCAGCAGCCGCGGUAAUACGAAGGGGGCUAGCGUUACUCGGAAUUACUGGGCGUAAAGGGCGCGUAGGCGGCUCUGUUAGUCAGGCGUGAAAUUCCUGGGCUUAACCUGGGGACUGCGCUUGAUACUGCAGGGCUUGAGGCCGAGAGAGGGUGGUGGAAUUCCCAGUGUAGAGGUGAAAUUCGUAGAUAUUGGGAAGAACACCGGUGGCGAAGGCGACCACCUGGCUCGGUUCUGACGCUGAGGCGCGACAGCGUGGGGAGCAAACAGGAUUAGAAACCCUGGUAGUCC
Molecule: ribosomal RNA, 425 nt
Filed under: uncultured bacterium
Lineage: Bacteria
Description: bacterial SSU rRNA
Rfam family: Bacterial small subunit ribosomal RNA
Source: RNAcentral